CGGACGGGUGAGUAACGCGUGGGUAACCUGCCCCAUACAGGGGAGUAACACUUAGAAAUAGGUGCUAAUACCGCAUAAGCGCACAGAGCUGCAUGGCUCAGUGUGAAAAACUCCGGUGGUGCAAGAUGGACCCGCGUCUGAUUAGCUGGUUGGCGGGGUAACGGCCCACCAAGGCGACGGUCAGUAGCCGGCCUGAGAGGGUGAACGGCCACAUUGGGACUGAGACACGGCCCAAACUCCUACGGAAGGCAGCAG
This 255-nucleotide ribosomal RNA is filed under the name uncultured bacterium. RNAcentral's name for it is "partial 16S ribosomal RNA". It matches the Rfam family "Bacterial small subunit ribosomal RNA", at positions 99 to 354 of the family's 1533-position model. The record is from RNAcentral.